This 493-nucleotide ribosomal RNA is filed under the name uncultured bacterium. Its description in RNAcentral is "partial 16S ribosomal RNA". It matches the Rfam family "Bacterial small subunit ribosomal RNA", at positions 28 to 507 of the family's 1533-position model. The record is from RNAcentral.
GACGAACGCUGGCGGCGUGCCUAACACAUGCAAGUUGAGCGACGAACCAGGGCUUGCCCUGGGGCAAAGCCGCGAACGGGUGAGUAACACGUGGGUAACCUACCCCGAUAACCGGGACAACCCGAGGAAACUCGGGCUAAUACCGGAUGUGCUCACUGGACUUCGGUUCAGUGCGUAAAGGAAGCUUCGGCCUCCGUAUCGGGAGGGGCCCGCGGCCCAUUAGUUUGUUGGUGAGGUAACGGCUCACCAAGACCGCGAUGGGUAGCUGGUCUGAGAGGACGAUCAGCCACACUGGGACUGAGACACGGCCCAGGCUCCUACGGGAGGCAGCAGUGGGGAAUCUUGCGCAAUGCGCGAAAGCGUGACGCAGCAACGCCGCGUGGGGGAAGAAGGCCUUCGGGUUGUAAACCCCUUUCAGGAGGGACGAAGGUUCGGCGGUGAAUAGCCGUCCGGACUGACGGUACCUCCACAAGAAGCCCCGGCUAACUACGUG